Molecule: non-coding RNA, 27 nt
Filed under: Homo sapiens (human)
Lineage: Eukaryota; Metazoa; Chordata; Mammalia; Primates; Hominidae
Source: RNAcentral
UAGAUGUGUUUGCAAAUAAGUUGCCCA